AUGGAUAUCCCCAUGACAAUUCACAAAAGCUUGAAUGGAAACUGAAAUCUGAUGGUGGAAACCAAACGUUGAAACCUUCAUCAGAUGGAAACAAAGAAAUGACUGAACAUAUAUGCCAGUACGUCGUAGGCAUCUAUCUAGCUUGCUGAGCAUUUGUUAGAGGUGCAAUACACAUAUACUUUCAAUCCAUACAAGACGAAGAAACGCCGAUUGGAAAAGCUGAUUCCAUUAAAGCAAAGAAUGGUGAUGUACCAAAGAAAGUGGCGUUCUGAUGAAUGUUAAAAAGUAUUCGAAGAACUAGACACCAAAAGUGCCACUCACAAAUCAAAGCUGUCUAAAAGGCAGAACAUCAGAAGAAUUAGGAUAAAUAAGGAAUCCAAAAGAGACAAACCUGAUGAUGUAGCGAUUGAACAGAAAUGGGCUAUUAGAGAUCAAAUAUCUGAGUUGCUACUGUUUUGCAUAAUUGUGUUGCUUUUUUUACUUAACUUGAAUUGACACAUUCAAAUGUUAUAUAAGAAAAAUAUACCUAGUGUUGUAUUUUU
Long non-coding RNA from Saccostrea echinata, 542 nucleotides. RefSeq lists it as uncharacterized. The transcript has 3 exons. The record is from RefSeq and is a predicted model, not a curated record. NCBI's taxonomy places the organism in Eukaryota, Metazoa, Mollusca, Bivalvia, Ostreida, Ostreidae.